Molecule: ribosomal RNA, 427 nt
Filed under: uncultured bacterium
Lineage: Bacteria
Description: partial 16S ribosomal RNA
Rfam family: Bacterial small subunit ribosomal RNA
Source: RNAcentral
GUGGGGGAUAUUGCACAAUGGGCGAAAGCCUGAUGCAGCAACGCCGCGUGAGUGAUGAAGGCCUUUGGGUCGUAAAACUCUGUCCUUGGGGAAGAAAAAAAUGACGGUACCCUUGGAGGAAGCCCCGGCUAACUACGUGCCAGCAGCCGCGGUAAUACGUAGGGGGCAAGCGUUAUCCGGAAUUAUUGGGCGUAAAGAGUGCGUAGGUGGUUUUGUAAGCGUAGGGUGAAAGACAGUAGCUCAACUAUUGUUAGCCCUGCGAACUGUGAGACUUGAGUGCAGGAGAGGAAAGUGGAAUUCCUAGUGUAGCGGUGAAAUGCGUAGAUAUUAGGAGGAACACCAGUGGCGAAGGCGACUUUCUGGACUGUAACUGACACUGAGGCACGAAAGCGUGGGUAGCAAACAGGAUUAGAAACCCGGGUAGUCC